RNAcentral lists this ribosomal RNA (465 nucleotides) under Vreelandella stevensii. RNAcentral describes it as "partial 16S ribosomal RNA". It matches the Rfam family "Bacterial small subunit ribosomal RNA", at positions 338 to 795 of the family's 1533-position model. The record is from RNAcentral. Lineage: Bacteria; Pseudomonadati; Pseudomonadota; Gammaproteobacteria; Oceanospirillales; Halomonadaceae.
CCUACGGGAGGCUGCAGUGGGGAAUAUUGGACAAUGGGGGGAACCCUGAUCCAGCCAUGCCGCGUGUGUGAAGAAGGCCCUCGGGUUGUAAAGCACUUUCAGUGAGGAAGAACGCCUGGUGGUUAAUACCCAUCAGGAAAGACAUCACUCACAGAAGAAGCACCGGCUAACUCCGUGCCAGCAGCCGCGGUAAUACGGAGGGUGCGAGCGUUAAUCGGAAUUACUGGGCGUAAAGCGCGCGUAGGUGGCUUGAUAAGCCGGUUGUGAAAGCCCCGGGCUCAACCUGGGAACGGCAUCCGGAACUGUCAAGCUAGAGUGCAGGAGAGGAAGGUAGAAUUCCGGGUGUAGCGGUGAAAUGCGUAGAGAUCGGGAGGAAUACCAGUGGCGAAGGCGGCCUUCUGGACUGACACUGACACUGAGGUGCGAAAGCGUGGGUAGCAAACAGGAUUAGAUACCCUAGUAGUC